UGUGUUAUCAGGCUACCUGCUUGGCAUCUUGAAGAUCUUUUGUGCAAUUUCCCCAAUUAUCCCUAUUUGGAAAGAAAUGAAAAUGAACAGCCCCGCCAUGUUUCUGAUUCAGAUGUGGUUUGUGGUCAAGUACAAUUCCAGUAUGUUUGACAGGCACGGUGAGCAAACCAGGAACUCCAUGAAAUGAAGCAGUAAAGAGAACCCUGGAAUGGAACUGGUGGAAAACAAGAAGUGACUGUGACUGGACCUAAAUAAGAGCCCAUAUUCAAGUCUA
Pantherophis guttatus is the source of this 274-nucleotide long non-coding RNA. RefSeq lists it as uncharacterized. Lineage: Eukaryota; Metazoa; Chordata; Lepidosauria; Squamata; Colubridae. The record is from RefSeq and is a predicted model, not a curated record.